Long non-coding RNA from Manis javanica (Malayan pangolin), 652 nucleotides. RefSeq lists it as uncharacterized. Lineage: Eukaryota; Metazoa; Chordata; Mammalia; Pholidota; Manidae. The record is from RefSeq and is a predicted model, not a curated record.
UAGUGUUUUGUCUCCAAGUACAUGCAUUACACAGCCCUUCUUUUUCCACAGUUUCUUUCUGCUCGGUGUUUUCAUUUAGAUCCACUGGACCAGCAACAAUCAGCAUAAACAGUAAUGCCAAGCAAAAUUUUAAUGCCUGUGCAGGCUGAGAGACAACUCGCCACACCAGUGAAUCUUUUAUACUGUAUUCCAAGUGGCUUUUUAUAUUCCAACUUUGAUGAGACAAGUGUCGUCAGGAUCUACGAUUGGCUCUUGCUCCACAAUGAAUCUCGCUGUCAGAGGUUAAAACCCUGUCUGUCACAAGUCACCAAACAGUAUUUUGUUACAGUCAAGGGAGCAGUGGUGCAUAAUCAUUCAUUCAGUGUUGGCAGUGACUACAGAACACAGCUACUGUGAAUAAUGAGAAUCAGCUACAUCUAAUCAACUUCUGUAAAGAUCAACUUGCACAAACUCUUAAAGAUAUUUGUAGAGCUUAUAAUGUUGAAAAGUUGGAAAUAAUCUACAUGUCUGACAAACAGAAGUAAAUCCAAUAAAUUGCAAUAUCCCCAGCUUAUAGGUCCUGUCAGAAGAUGAUUACCAGGUAAUAUCGACAUCCUGAGAACACCAGGUCGCGAAGUAGGUGCUAGUGGAAGCAUGUUGGGCACUUCCUGGG